CCUACGGGAGGCAGCAGUGGGGAAUAUUGGGCAAUGGGCGCAAGCCUGACCCAGCAACGCCGCGUGAAGGAAGAAGGCUUUCGGGUUGUAAACUUCUUUUAAGAGGGAAGAGCAGAAGACGGUACCUCUUGAAUAAGCUAUGGCUAACUACGUGCCAGCAGCCGCGGUAAUACGUAGGUGGCAAGCGUUGUCCGGAGUUACUGGGUGUAAAGGGCGUGUAGUCGGGCUGACAAGUCAGAUGUGAAAGUCCGGGGCUCAACCCCGGACCUGCAUUUGAAACUGGUGGUCUUGAGUAUCGGAGAGGCAGGCGGAAUUCCUGGUGUAGCGGUGAAAUGCGUAGAUAUUAGGAGGAACACCGGUGGCGAAGGCGGCCUGCUGGACGACAACUGACGGUGAGGCGCGAAAGCGUGGGGAGCAAACAGGAUUAGAUACCCUGGUAGUC
RNAcentral lists this ribosomal RNA (442 nucleotides) under uncultured bacterium. RNAcentral's name for it is "partial 16S ribosomal RNA". It matches the Rfam family "Bacterial small subunit ribosomal RNA", at positions 338 to 795 of the family's 1533-position model. The record is from RNAcentral.